This is a long non-coding RNA of Sipha flava (yellow sugarcane aphid), 789 nucleotides long. RefSeq lists it as uncharacterized. The record is from RefSeq and is a predicted model, not a curated record. Lineage: Eukaryota; Metazoa; Arthropoda; Insecta; Hemiptera; Aphididae. The transcript has 3 exons.
UGAAAAUGAAAUGUUGUAUUCCAUUUUGCAAUGAAUUAAAUUCUAGUACUUUUAAAGUACCUAAAAAUUCAUUUGAUGUAUGGUAAAAUUCCCUAAACAUAAAAUUGAAAUCAAAUUCAAGAAUUUGUGAGAAACAUUUUAAAAAAGAUGUUAUAAAGACAUGGGUUUCAGGUAGCAAACAAGAGAACCAGUAUACAGUAUGUACAUUUUAUUAUUAUUACUAUAUUACUUCAAUAGAUACUUAAGUAUUUUCAAAUAUCAUUGUUUUUCAAAUGUUAACUAAGCCAUGUAUAGCUAUAAUUUUAAUUGUUUUAAGAUAUAUUAUAAAAGACCAAAACUUCGGUUAGGACCUAUUCCUACGAUUAGUGUUACAACAGAGCAAAAUGUAUUGACUGACUUAUCAACUUCAAAAAUGCUAGGUGGUAAUGAAGGUGAAUCAAUCGAUUAUACAGAAAGCAGUGAUCAAUCAAUUUUUGUCAAUUCUAAUUGUAGUAACUCAAUCUAAUUGAUGUCUAAUAGUUGUACCAUUCCAAGAAAAAUAAAGACUCUUGAAUACACCCAAAGCAAUCCCAGUUACUCUAAUAAUAGUAACUCAUCUAUUUAUAGUGAACCUACAAAUGUAUUUGAAUAUUUAAUAAGAUCAAUAAACAUGAUUAGUUUGCCAUCAAAAUGGUUUAUGGAUAUUGAUCUUGAACUUAAGGAUCUAAAAAAAUCAUUUGUAGGAUUUCACUAGUUGGGUGUCUGUAGAGAUGAUUUUUCAAGAGUUGUUAAAAAACAAAUUAUAUUAAC